RNAcentral lists this ribosomal RNA (253 nucleotides) under uncultured bacterium. Its description in RNAcentral is "partial 16S ribosomal RNA". It matches the Rfam family "Bacterial small subunit ribosomal RNA", at positions 524 to 776 of the family's 1533-position model. The record is from RNAcentral.
UACGGAGGGUGCAAGCGUUAUCCGGAUUCACUGGGUUUAAAGGGUGCGUAGGCGGGCAGGUAAGUCAGUGGUGAAAUCUCCGGGCUUAACCCGGAAACUGCCGUUGAUACUAUCUGUCUUGAAUAUCGUGGAGGUGAGCGGAAUAUGUCAUGUAGCGGUGAAAUGCUUAGAUAUGACAUAGAACACCCAUUGCGAAGGCAGCUCGCUACACGGUUAUUGACGCUGAGGCACGAAAGCGUGGGGAUCAAACAGG